This 408-nucleotide ribosomal RNA is filed under the name uncultured bacterium. RNAcentral describes it as "partial 16S ribosomal RNA". It matches the Rfam family "Bacterial small subunit ribosomal RNA", at positions 29 to 526 of the family's 1533-position model. The record is from RNAcentral.
AGUGAACGCUGGCGGCGUGCCUAAUACAUGCAAGUCGAACGGAGUGGCGCACGGGUGCGUAAUCUAUCGCUACUCUUCCCCUUGCUGGAGUACAACAGUUAGAAAUGACUGCUACUACUCCAUAGCAAGGGAUGCGACUAUAUCGUAUCAGCUAGUCGGCGGGGUAACGGCCUACUGAGGCUAUGACGCGUAACUGGUCUGAGAGGAUGAUCAGUCACAUUUGAACUGAGACACGGUCCAAACUCCUACGGGAGGCAGCAGUAGGGAAUAUUGCGCAAGGGGGGAAACCCUGACGCAGCAACGCCGCGUGGAGGAUGACACUUUUCGGAGCGUAAACUCCUUUUGUUAGGGAAGCGGUACCUAACGAAUAAGCACCGGCUAACUCCGUGCCAGCAGCCGCGGUAAUUC